CCUACGGGUGGCAGCAGUGGGGAAUAUUGCACAAUGGGGGAAACCCUGAUGCAGCAACGCCGCGUGAGUGAAGAAGUUUUUCGGUAUGUAAAGCUCUAUCAGCAGGGAAGAGAAUUACGGUUCCUGACUAAGAAGCCCCGGCUAACUACGUUGCAGCAGCCGGGGUAAUACGGAGGGGGCGAGCGUUAUCCGGAUUUACUGGGUGUAAAGGGAGCUGAGACGGGUGGUCAAGUCUGGAGUGAAAGCCCGGGGCUUAACCCCGGAAGGGCUGUGGAAACUGAGCAGCGUGAGAGCUGGAGAGGUAAGCGGAAUGCCUAGUGUAGCGGUGAAAGGCGUAGAUAUUAGGAGGAACACCAGUGGCGAAGGCGGCUUACUGGACAGUAACUGACGCUGAGGCUCGAAAGCGUGGGGAGCAAACAGGAUUAGAUACCCCUGUAGUC
Molecule: ribosomal RNA, 440 nt
Filed under: uncultured bacterium
Lineage: Bacteria
Description: partial 16S ribosomal RNA
Rfam family: Bacterial small subunit ribosomal RNA
Source: RNAcentral